Molecule: ribosomal RNA, 468 nt
Filed under: uncultured bacterium
Lineage: Bacteria
Description: partial 16S ribosomal RNA
Rfam family: Bacterial small subunit ribosomal RNA
Source: RNAcentral
GACGAACGCUGGCGGCGUGCUUAAUACAUGCAAGUCGAACGGACAGGCGAUGCUCUUGUGGGGUGCUCGAGUGGCGAACGGGUGAGUAUAACGUGAGUAUCACGUCCUUGUAUUUGGGAGAACAUCUGGAAACUGGGGAUAAUACAGGAUAGGAGCUAUUGCAGCACGGUGGGGGAUGGAAAAUUUCGGCGGUUGGGGCUGGUUUGGAGGGUUAUGCGCUUGAUGGUGGGGUAGUGGCUGACAAAGGUUUUGAGGGGUAGCCGGCCUGGGAGGGUGACCGGCCACAAGGGGACUAAGGUACGGCCCAGACGGCAACGGUAGGCAACGGUGGGGAAUAUUGCACAAUGGGCGGAAGCCUGAUGCAGCGGCGCCGCGUGCGGAAUAACGGCCUACGAGGGGUAAACCACUGUCUACUGUAACAAAGCGGGAGUGACGGUAAUGAGUAAAGAAGCACCGGCUAACUACGUG